GAGAAUGCCGGUGUGAGUAGCGAAAGACGGGUGAGAAUCCCGUCCACCGAUUGACUAAGGUUUCCAGAGGAAGGCUCGUCCGCUCUGGGUUAGUCGGGUCCUAAGCUGAGGCCGACAGGCGUAGGCGAUGGAUAACAGGUUGAUAUUCCUGUACCACCUAUAAUCGUUUUAAUCGAUGGGGGGACGCAGUAGGAUAGGCGAAGCGUGCGAUUGGAUUGCACGUCUAAGCAGUAAGGCUGAGUAUUAGGCAAAUCCGGUACUCGUUAAGGCUGAGCUGUGAUGGGGAGAAGACAUUGUGUCUUCGAGUCGUUGAUUUCACACUGCCGAGAAAAGCCUCUAGAUAGAAAAUAGGUGCCCGUACCGCAAACCGACACAGGUAGUCAAGAUGAGAAUUCUAAGGUGAGCGAGCGAACUCUCGUUAAGGAACUCGGCAAAAUGACCCCGUAACUUCGGGAGAAGGGGUGCUCUUUAGGGUUAACGCCCAGAAGAGCCGCAGUGAAUAGGCCCAAGCGACUGUUUAUCAAAAACACAGGUCUCUGCUAAACCGUAAGGUGAUGUAUAGGGGCUGACGCCUGCCCGGUGCUGGAAGGUUAAGAGGAGUGGUUAGCUUCUGCGAAGCUACGAAUCGAAGCCCCAGUAAACGGCGGCCGUAACUAUAACGGUCCUAAGGUAGCGAAAUUCCUUGUCGGGUAAGUUCCGACCCGCACGAAAGGCGUAACGAUUUGGGCACUGUCUCAACGAGAGACUCGGUGAAAUCAUAGUACCUGUGAAGAUGCAGGUUACCCGCGACAGGACGGAAAGACCCCGUGGAGCUUUACUGUAGCCUGAUAUUGAAAUUCGGCACAG
RNAcentral lists this ribosomal RNA (846 nucleotides) under Staphylococcus aureus. RNAcentral describes it as "partial 23S ribosomal RNA". It matches the Rfam family "Bacterial large subunit ribosomal RNA", at positions 1290 to 2132 of the family's 2925-position model. Lineage: Bacteria; Bacillati; Bacillota; Bacilli; Caryophanales; Staphylococcaceae. The record is from RNAcentral.